Coffea arabica (coffee) is the source of this 1608-nucleotide non-coding RNA. NCBI's taxonomy places the organism in Eukaryota, Viridiplantae, Streptophyta, Magnoliopsida, Gentianales, Rubiaceae. The record is from RefSeq and is a predicted model, not a curated record.
ACAAGACUAUCCCUCCAAAAUCAACCAGCUUUUUAUUAUUUUACUCCUAAUAUGACCUGUCUAUCAUGUGAUUGUCCACAUGUGCAUGCACAUAUUUAUGUAGCAGUAUUUCCUUCCCUUAUUUUAUAUAAGCAAGUCUCCUCCAAGUCUCCAACCACUAUUUGAUGUCGUUAGGUGGGCUAGGCAGUAGGAAUUAUAUACACUAGAAUCACAAGAUUGAGAGCUUGAGAGUGCUUUUAUUUUGCAGCUUUGUGGCUAGGUAGCUAGGCAUUCAUUGUUGAAUCAUGAAGAGAGAGAAGCGAGAGAAAGCCGAGAGAAUCAGAUUAAUUUCUUGGAGGAGGAAAAGGGAAAGAGGGCGUCUGGAAUGAAGUUAGAGUUUGUGAUAAAAGGCUCAACGAUCUGUAGUGAUCUCGGACCAGGCUUCAUUCCUCACGCCCAACUUUUCCAAGUUUCCAUCAGCCCCACACCCCUCAGGUCAGGAACAACCCUCUUAUACUGCUGGUACAUCACUGCAGGUAUAUCAUCUUCUACCCUCUGAUUCACAAAGUGAACGAAGAACAAAGUAACCAAUUGGUCAUUUCCUUUCAUAUCACAAAAAACUCACACUAGUUAGUUGUUACAAGAUCAGUGCUCAAAAUUUUCAGCAAAAAAAUGGUCUAACCAGGAACCAAAAAUCCACUUUCACGGACUCUUUGAUGAUAAAAGUAGUUCUGUACGUAUAUGCUUGUUAUUUUGUCUAGUAUGUCUUUGUUUUAUUGCCUCUUGUUUUUGGAUAAUUGAAUACGUAAUUAGUGGCUUCAGUUCAUUCACUGAGAAGUAGGGUUUUGUUUGCUUUGUUUUCCUUCUGUUGGUUGUCGCAUCUCCACGACCACCCCCCCCUUUCCCCACACCCAAAAGAGUGGUGCAAUGAUCGGAAAAAAAAAAAGUCACCACAUAAAAGUUACAGUGUAAACCAGAUCGACUAGUAAUAAACGCUGCUCACGUAAGAGAAGUGAAUAGCUUUUGAAAGCAUAAUUUAUAUUCUUGAUAGUGAAGCAUCAUAACAGACAAAACCAGCCUUGUUAGCAAUGCUAAGCAUCUUUGUUUCUGUGUCUCAGGUUUUCUCCUUUACUUUCUUGUUUUUUCUUUCUUUUGCAGAUUUUGGGAUGAGAUGCUAUGCAAAUGACAACACGAAGAAUUAGGCUAGUACCCUAAUUUUGCAAGGACAGAUUUGUUCUUCUUAUGUGUCAAUGACUGUAAUAUUUGAUGGCGAGUUUGCAGAUUUAUGCAGGUAUUUAGUCAGUAGUCGGGCAUCGUUUUUAACCUAUACCAGUGCGCAGCUAUGAAUCAUCACUGUUAACUAUGUAUGUUGCCUUCGUAUUUUGCUAAUCUCCAGUUUGUUAAUAACUAUAUAGGAAUUUUGCAUCUUUAUGAGGAACUAUAUCAUGAGAUUAAUAUAAAACUUGAGAUAUCAACUAUUCCUUGGGUCAUUGACUGAUGCUCAUUCUUGAACUUAUGAUUUGUAUUUCAUCCAAAAUGCCUGUUGGCUCUUCUUGGGGCAUUUCAUUUGUUGGUGUUCCGCCCCUCUUGGGCAAAUACUAAAAGAUAUAUAUAUGGGACUCUUUUGUA